RNAcentral lists this transfer RNA (64 nucleotides) under Dipodomys ordii (Ord's kangaroo rat). It matches the Rfam family "tRNA". From Rfam's summary of the family: Transfer RNA (tRNA) molecules are approximately 80 nucleotides in length. Their secondary structure includes four short double-helical elements and three loops (D, anti-codon, and T loops). Further hydrogen bonds mediate the characteristic L-shaped molecular structure. tRNAs have two regions of fundamental functional importance: the anti-codon, which is responsible for specific mRNA codon recognition, and the 3' end, to which the tRNAs corresponding amino acid is attached (by aminoacyl-tRNA synthetases). tRNAs cope with the degeneracy of the genetic code in two manners: having more than one tRNA (with a specific anti-codon) for a particular amino acid; and 'wobble' base-pairing, i.e. permitting non-standard base-pairing at the 3rd anti-codon position. The record is from Rfam by way of RNAcentral. Lineage: Eukaryota; Metazoa; Chordata; Mammalia; Rodentia; Heteromyidae.
GGUGGCUCAGUGGUAAAGUGCUUGCCUUGCAUGCAUGAGGCCCUGGGUUCAAUUCUCAGCACCA